RNAcentral lists this transfer RNA (74 nucleotides) under uncultured Acidimicrobiales bacterium. RNAcentral's name for it is "tRNA-Arg". It matches the Rfam family "tRNA". Rfam says of the family: Transfer RNA (tRNA) molecules are approximately 80 nucleotides in length. Their secondary structure includes four short double-helical elements and three loops (D, anti-codon, and T loops). Further hydrogen bonds mediate the characteristic L-shaped molecular structure. tRNAs have two regions of fundamental functional importance: the anti-codon, which is responsible for specific mRNA codon recognition, and the 3' end, to which the tRNAs corresponding amino acid is attached (by aminoacyl-tRNA synthetases). tRNAs cope with the degeneracy of the genetic code in two manners: having more than one tRNA (with a specific anti-codon) for a particular amino acid; and 'wobble' base-pairing, i.e. permitting non-standard base-pairing at the 3rd anti-codon position. The record is from RNAcentral. Lineage: Bacteria; Bacillati; Actinomycetota; Acidimicrobiia; Acidimicrobiales. RNAcentral also lists the same sequence under 1 other name.
GCGUCCGUAGCUCAAUGGAUAGAGCUUUUGAUUACGGAUCAAAAGGUUGGGAGUUCGAGUCUCUCCGGGCGCGC